AAUAAGAUGGCUGAGAAAUAAGCAUUAAAUUGUAAAUUUAAUUACGAAGAUAAAAUCCUUCUCUUA
RNAcentral lists this transfer RNA (66 nucleotides) under Franklinothrips vespiformis. RNAcentral describes it as "tRNA-Tyr". It matches the Rfam family "tRNA". Rfam says of the family: Transfer RNA (tRNA) molecules are approximately 80 nucleotides in length. Their secondary structure includes four short double-helical elements and three loops (D, anti-codon, and T loops). Lineage: Eukaryota; Metazoa; Arthropoda; Insecta; Thysanoptera; Aeolothripidae. The record is from RNAcentral.